UACGAAGGGGGCUAGCGUUGUUCGGAAUUACUGGGCGUAAAGCGCACGUAGGCGGCUUUUUAAGUCAGGGGUGAAAUCCCGGGGCUCAACCCCGGAACUGCCCUUGAAACUGGAGAGCUAGAAUCUUGGAGAGGCGAAUGGAAUUCCGAGUGUAGAGGUGAAAUUCGUAGAUAUUCGGAAGAACACCAGUGGCGAAGGCGACUCGCUGGACAAGUAUUGACGCUGAGGUGCGAAAGCGUGGGGAGCAAACAGG
This 253-nucleotide ribosomal RNA is filed under the name uncultured bacterium. Its description in RNAcentral is "partial 16S ribosomal RNA". It matches the Rfam family "Bacterial small subunit ribosomal RNA", at positions 524 to 776 of the family's 1533-position model. The record is from RNAcentral.